This 406-nucleotide ribosomal RNA is filed under the name uncultured bacterium. RNAcentral describes it as "partial 16S ribosomal RNA". It matches the Rfam family "Bacterial small subunit ribosomal RNA", at positions 29 to 526 of the family's 1533-position model. The record is from RNAcentral.
AUUGAACGCUGGCGGCAGGCCUAACACAUGCAAGUCGAACGAGUGGCGGACGGGUGAGUAAUGUCUGGGAAACUGCCUGAUGGAGGGGGAUAACUACUGGAAACGGUAGCUAAUACCGCAUACCAUCGGAUGUGCCCAGGUGGGAUUAGCUAGUAGGUGGGGUAAAGGCUCACCUAGGCGACGAUCCCUAGCUGGUCUGAGAGGAUGACCAGCAAAACUGGAAAGGAGAAACGUUCCAGACUCCUACGGGAGGCAUCAGUGGGGAAUAUUGGACAAAGGGCGCAAGCCUGAGGCAGCCAGGCCGCGGGUAUGAAGAAGGCCUGCGGGUUGUAAAGUACUUUCAGCAGGGAGGCGUGACACGCAGAAGAAGCACAGGCUAACGCCGUGACAGCCGCCGCGGUAAUAC